GGCGGAAUGGCCGAGUGGUCCAAGGCGGUAGAUUUAAGCCCUACUCACGAAAGUGGCGCGUGUUCGAACCACGCUUCCGUCA
This 82-nucleotide transfer RNA is filed under the name Talaromyces marneffei ATCC 18224. RNAcentral's name for it is "tRNA-Leu (TAA) (tRNA-Leu-TAA-1-1)". It matches the Rfam family "tRNA". Rfam says of the family: Transfer RNA (tRNA) molecules are approximately 80 nucleotides in length. Their secondary structure includes four short double-helical elements and three loops (D, anti-codon, and T loops). The record is from RNAcentral. Lineage: Eukaryota; Fungi; Ascomycota; Eurotiomycetes; Eurotiales; Trichocomaceae.